CGUCACCCCACUUACAACCGAUCGGCGAGAACGUAUAUAAAGGCGUCCGAGAUUCUGAUUUCGGCAUAACACAUUUUUGUGAAGAUCUAUUUUCUGUUUACACAUUUAUCCACAAAAACCAACCAACAAAUCCAAAAUGGGUGCCGAAAAAGUAACCAUGAACAUCGUCGUCGUUGGACAAGUCCAAUCUGCCAAGGCCAUCAAAUCGGUCGCCAAAGCCACGCUAGCCACCAGCCAACAGAUGAACUGCUAAUUGAUGUAGUCCAUACAUUGCAAACCUCAAAAAUGCCUUAGCCCAAACAAUACGAUAAUAAUAAUAAUAACAUUAUGUAAUUUAUUCAGUAUUGACACCGUAAAAUAAAUCAGUCGUUUCCKAUGUACUUACAAAUCUA
This is a long non-coding RNA of Diuraphis noxia (Russian wheat aphid), 392 nucleotides long. RefSeq lists it as uncharacterized. The record is from RefSeq and is a predicted model, not a curated record. NCBI's taxonomy places the organism in Eukaryota, Metazoa, Arthropoda, Insecta, Hemiptera, Aphididae.